CUAUUGUCUUUUUCCUAGUUGAUGGAAAGCUGCUGGUUCUAGUGUUCCUCUAGCAUAUCAUCUGUAGUUAAUAGUGACUCCCGUUUUUAUGCUUACUAGAAAUGAAUCCAUUGAUGACAAACAAUGCAGAUGUGAUGGUGCAGGAAUCUCAAUCCAUUAAUGAUCUAGCUCUCUCUUCCCCUGAAUCCAAUAUGACAGGGAGAAUCACAGAGCUAGAUAAUUAUCCAAUAAGUGAAGCCUGUACCAAUUAACUCAUUUGGAUCCACUUUUUUCAACUUCUCAGCACACUUUACAGAUUCCCUAAAAGAUGAUGUUUGUUUGCAGAGCAUGCUAGGUCGGAAAAUGCUUGAAUUCAAACUGAGAAGUCUGGUGCUUUCGAUGCUGAAGAAACUAUUAGCUCACACUCAACCUUGACCAAAGCUUCAAACUCUGUGAGAAGUUUUUUGAUAUCUGUGUUAAAGCUUCUAUGCUGGAUAAAUAUUAAGCUUCUUUAUCUUGCCCUGUUUAUUCUAUUACCUUAAAAACUAUUUGCAGUGUGGGCCAGCCAUGGGGAUGAUAUAAGCAUCCAGUAUUCUGGUACUCCAGCUUUAAAGGGAAAUUUUGUCAGAGUAAGCAUCUGGGAUUGGAUCUUUAAAUGCCAACUGCACAAAUUUAUCUAGAGAUCAUGAUGGAUAUAGCAUACAACUAAAAAAAUGUGGUAACAGAACAGCCCAGGGGGUUCUCGCUGACGGAUGUAAUGCCCUAACAUGAUACUACUUGAACAAUUUUGUUGAUGGUACUGAACAGUGUCUGUAGCAUUUUAAUUAUGAUGGAGAAGGGAGACCCUUCACAGAAAUUAUAUACAAGGAUGCGGCCUUUGGGAAUUUCCAGAUCAGUAUGUUGUUGAGCCUACUGAUGGAUCCUGUGGUUUGUGCUUGGAGAUCAGUUUGCGUGGAUGUGUCUGUGAAACUAAUAGGUUGCUUCUUUUACUCUUUAUAAAUUUCUUCCGGACUUAAAUUAUUUAUUAAGCUAAUGAUAUGUACUUGUUUGCUAUGUUAGAUGAGGUUCCAGAGCGCAGUUCGGUUCGUGUUCCCAAAAUUCAGAAAAUAUUUGGUGUUAUAGGCAUACUAAAGCUUUUGGCUGGUAAGAACUUUUAGGAAGAACUAAAAGAUCAGGAUUUUGUUUUUUAUAUUUCAAUAGCAGGUCAGCUCUCUGACAUACAUCAAUAAAUCUUUACAUUAUCAGGAAAAAAUGUCUAUUAUAUAUGUCAAGAAUGUACCCUUUGUUGCUCAUUCUCUUGAAGAUUUUUGUUCCAUAAAAUUAUCACACACAUAUACAAAGUAUAUACCAAUGUCUUGGUCUUGCUCAAUUAUGCGUUUGACGGGU
Molecule: long non-coding RNA, 1365 nt
Organism: Solanum verrucosum
Lineage: Eukaryota; Viridiplantae; Streptophyta; Magnoliopsida; Solanales; Solanaceae
Exons: 4
Source: RefSeq, a predicted model, not a curated record